AUGAGGGGCGGCAGGGUCGCCUUCGGCCAUAAGACCAACUUCUGCCGCAUCCAGCAACCGGACGAUUCUCUUAAUGAUGGAUUCUAUGUCCUACACCACAUGCUGGAUGGUCAUCACGUUAAACAACAACAACAACAACAACAACAACAACAACAACAACAACAACAACAACAACAACAACAACAACAACUUUCACAUGGUGGUUGUUGUAUACCUUAUUUAGAAAUAAGUUCCAAGUCAAAUGUCUUCAAUCUGAUGAACACUUACUGUUCACUCUUCCCUGAUUCCUUGUGUCAACAGUUUGAAAAUACAAGUUGGAUCAAGUCGAGGACACAUGAAAUAAUUAAGUCCUACAGUAGUAACCAGUCAUAUGCGAGUGUGCAAAGAUGUUGCAUUACCAUGGCGAAAACCGUUCUGGUUGUUGAGAAUUCACAGCUCCAUCUCACAGAAUCUCACAGCUGCAUCAGCAAAGGUGGGACAAUACUUACCGUAUCCUCUGCAUUGGAGAUAGUGGACCAGAGGCUUCAUCGGCCGGCUGAGGCAGACGGUGCAACCGGCCAUAUUUCCCUAGGCGCUCGCCGAAAUAUGAGUCAAAAUCUUGUUUUCGAGGAACUCCCACAGGACAUCGUACACCGUAUACAUUCGCUCUUGCCGGUGCAAGAAGCCGCGCGUGCUGCCUGCGCAUCUCGUGGGCUUCUACAUUCCUGGAGAUGCUAUUCCAACCUCACACUCAACUGCGAAACACUUGGGUUGACUCACAAGAAGUUUGAGGAGAGAGAGACCUACAUCAUUGACAAGGUUGACAAAAUUCUUAGAAACCAUUAUGGGAAUGGGGUGAAGGUGAAGACACUUAAACUUCAUCUUGCCCCUUGCAACAAUAUCAAAGCCGCAUGCCUCGAUGGGUGGCUCCAAGUCACCGUUAAGGCUGGGAUCAAAGAACUUGACUUGGCAAUGCCUUUACUCAUGAAGGAAAAAUACAACUUCCCUUGUUCCGUUUUGUCUGACGAGGCAGCUGCAAGUUCGAUUCAGUCUCUUGGCCUUUGGGGUUGCUCUUUUCAUCCCACGUCCACACUUGGCCUCUUGAGAAGAUUGAAAUGUUUACAGUUGACUCUUGUGGACAUUAGCGAGGAAGGAUUAGGCCUAUUGCUCUCAAAAUCUUCUUCCCUUGAGCAGCUGGUCCUCUUCUUUUGUAGUGGGAUAACUUGCCUGCAAAUACCUUGUACAAUGCAACAACUCAAUUUCCUUAGUAUUACAGAAUGCAAGAGUUUGAAGAUGGUAGAGAUCGAUGCUCCAAAUCUCUGCUCCUUUUAUUGUGUUGGGACCCUGAUAGAAAUCUCCAUUAGAAAUUCUUUUCAGCUUAAGAAUGUAAAUUUGUCAUGCAUUCUUCUCUCUGAUGCUCGCGCCAAGCUACCAUCCAUCCUAGGAACUGUCGAGAGCCUUACCCUGCGCUCUCGCACUGAGAAUGCCAAAGUUCCAACCCUGGCCUCCAAGCUCCUCUGCCUCAAGCACUUGGAUAUUGAACUCCUCGGACCAACAAUGGCCUUCCCACCUUUUAGAAAUAUAACGGACUUCCCCAAGAGCUAUGAUGUCUUCUCUUUGGUUUCAUUUCUUGAUGCUUCUCCUACCUUGGAUUCCUUCAUCCUGCGCGUAGAGCAGGGUGCCGUUAGAUCCGACUUCGGUUUUGGAGAUGACCAUGAGUAUCUGAGGCAGAGGCUAGAGGGCCGGCAUAACUGCCUCAGGCAGGUGACAAUCACGGGGUUCUGUCCAUCCAAGAGCCUGGUCCAACUCCUAAUCUACAUCCUUGAGAGUGCGCCCUCGCUCGAGCGCCUGACGUUGGACACAACCUACCGCUACGACAGGAGGUCGGGUACCACUAGCAGAUGGUCGUCCUCAAGAAAGAUUGACCAAUGCUCGCCGAUGUGCAGAACGUAUCUCCCCGGAGCUCGUAGAGCCGUGGAAGCUGCGUGUAGGUGCAUCGCCGGAAGAGUCCCCCCAAAUGUUGAAUUUGAGGUCCUAGAGAUGUGUAGUCGAUGCCAUGAUACAUGCCUCCAUAUAUAG
Molecule: ribosomal RNA, 2058 nt
Filed under: Triticum aestivum (bread wheat)
Lineage: Eukaryota; Viridiplantae; Streptophyta; Magnoliopsida; Poales; Poaceae
Description: partial small subunit ribosomal RNA
Source: RNAcentral